CAUUUCUCCUUCUCCUUCCUUCACUUUCCAAAACCAUUCGAUGAAAACCAGAGAAGAGAAGAAAUUGUUGUUAGACUCUCUAAUAUGGCUUUCUAUAAUUUGGAGCAGAUUUAGAACUUACACUUGUGUGAAUUAAUGUUAUGAUGUUCUAUCCUGAGGAUCUGGUUUUUUCUUUUAUUUUUUCGAUUUAUCUUCUGCUUUUAGUUCGAGUAAUCAUUACCGUUUCUAUAUCUUUGUUUAGGUAAACGAAUUGGGGUUUUAGUAUGAAUUUGGGGAUGGAUGUUUACUAUUCAACACCGAGUGUUAUGGAGAUAGAUAGAUGCCUUUUAAGGUAUUUUAAUAUGCUCAGAUUAUUUUUAGGAAUCAAAAAUUUGGUUAAAUGUUGCUAAAUAUAACCUUGAUUCACAUGAGGGGCUUAAUUGCCUUCUAUAGUUUAUUUCUCCUCCUGUCUUAUAUGAGUUUUGAUUGAAAACAUGUUAGAAUCUACACACAAUUACAUUUGGCAGAGUUGUGAUUUUGUUACUGUUGUUUAUUGUUGUUUUUUUGGUCAUAUGAGUUAGUGAGCAUAUGCAAAUAGAAUAGAGAUAGUCAUAAACACAAAGGUAUGAUUUCCAACUAGACAUCACUACAGGGUUUAAGGGAACAGGAAGUAUGUCAAGAAAGGAUUUGGUUGGGAAAUCGAAAUGACAAGUGAUACGAAAUUGGUACUAGUAAACGUGGAUUCGAGGAGGGUGAAAUUGUUAGUUUAGAUGAAGGAGCUUUUGCAGGAAUAAGCAAGAGAAGAUGCUCAAAUUUCGUACUCAAUCCGGGGCACGAUGGAUUAGAUCUUACUCCAGUGCCCUUGAAGAGCUUGCGGAAUCGAUUCACUGCUAACCUUAAGCAAGCUGCAGACAGCAGUGGAUAAAUUCAGCUUGCUCCGAGAGAUCAUGCCACUUCGAUGGAGAUUCUCGACAGGCGGCUGUUAAAGGUUGCACUUCCAACUGUUGCAAGGCCAAUAAUGUCGCUGGGUGCCAGUGAAGAUGUAGUUUGGCAAUAUAACGUCUCAUUUAUGUUGUUUGUCAUAAUGGCGUUGCCAUGUUGUAUGAAUAGUAAGAGCAGUGCUGUCCCGCGCGGUCACGCAGGACAGCUUAAUAAGCUAGCAGUCUUUGGGGCGUUGGAUUAUAUUGCUUACUGUUCUAUUAUAUUUGUUUUAACUCUUACUUCAUUACAGCUGGCAAAGUUAUAACUAUUAAAAUAGAACCUUGUAUUUUAUUUUUUUAUGUCUUGUUAAUUGUAACUAUUCUCGACCAUUAUCAUU
Long non-coding RNA from Papaver somniferum (opium poppy), 1297 nucleotides. RefSeq lists it as uncharacterized. The transcript is spliced from 3 exons. Lineage: Eukaryota; Viridiplantae; Streptophyta; Magnoliopsida; Ranunculales; Papaveraceae. The record is from RefSeq and is a predicted model, not a curated record.